CAAAAGCGUAUAUUAAAGUUGUUGCAGUUAAAAAGCUCGUAGUUGAACCUUGGGCUUGGCUGGCCGGUCCAUCUUUUUUGAUGCGUACUGGACCCAGCCGAGCCUUUACUUCUGGCUAGCCUUUUGGCGAACCAGGACUUUUACUUUGAAAAAAUUAGAGUGUUCAAAGCAGGCCUUUGCUCGAAUAUAUUAGCAUGGAAUAAUAGAAUAGGACGUUAUGGUUCUAUUUUGUUGGUUUCUAGGACCAUCGUAAUGAUUAAUAGGGACGGUCGGGGGUAUCAGUAUUCAGUUGUCAGAGGUGAAAUUCUUGGAUUUACUGAAGACUAACUACUGCGAAAGCAUUUACCAAGGACGUUUUCAUUAA
This 364-nucleotide ribosomal RNA is filed under the name uncultured eukaryote. RNAcentral's name for it is "partial 18S ribosomal RNA". It matches the Rfam family "Eukaryotic small subunit ribosomal RNA", at positions 592 to 976 of the family's 1831-position model. The record is from RNAcentral.